Molecule: transfer RNA, 66 nt
Filed under: Rhabdoblatta saussurei
Lineage: Eukaryota; Metazoa; Arthropoda; Insecta; Blattodea; Blaberidae
Description: tRNA-Met
Source: RNAcentral
AGAAAAGUAAGCUAAAAUAAGCUAAUGGGUUCAUACCCCAUUUAUAGAGUUUACCUCUCUUCUCUA